UGGGGAAUUUUGCGCAAUGGGGGAAACCCUGACGCAGCAACGCCGCGUGAGUGAUGAAGGCCUUCGGGUCGUAAAGCUCUGUCAGAGGGGAAGAAGUGCAGGGGCGCUAAUAUCGCUUUUGCUUGACGGUACCCUCAAAGGAAGCACCGGCUAACUCCGUGCCAGCAGCCGCGGUAAUACGGAGGGUGCGAGCGUUGUUCGGAAUUAUUGGGCGUAAAGCGCGUGUAGGCGGUUUGGUAAGUCUGAGGUGAAAGUCCCGGGCUGAACAUGGGAAGAGAAUGUGUAACUUCUAGACGUGUCUGAAGUGUAUGGGGGUGGACUGUGUCGGGGAGGAGUGAAAGCAGUAGAGAGUAGGCGGAACAGCGGUGGAGAAGGCGGGGAACUGGAUCAUUAUUGACGCUGAG
RNAcentral lists this ribosomal RNA (404 nucleotides) under uncultured bacterium. RNAcentral describes it as "bacterial SSU rRNA". It matches the Rfam family "Bacterial small subunit ribosomal RNA", at positions 355 to 750 of the family's 1533-position model. The record is from RNAcentral.